UAACCAUGGUGUGGACAAUCUCUCUGAUACCCCUUAAAGCGCACCCAAACAGCUUGAAAGCCUCUAAGAUCCCUUGAGAAAAGAUAGAAAUCUUUUUUCGCAGCUC
This is a small nucleolar RNA of Capsella rubella, 106 nucleotides long. It matches the Rfam family "Plant small nucleolar RNA R71". From Rfam's summary of the family: R71 is a member of the C/D box family of snoRNAs containing the C (UGAUGA) and D (CUGA) box motifs. Multiple nearly identical copies of this snoRNA have been identified in Arabidopsis, and it is thought to function as a 2'-O-ribose methylation guide for 18S ribosomal RNA. The record is from Rfam. Lineage: Eukaryota; Viridiplantae; Streptophyta; Magnoliopsida; Brassicales; Brassicaceae.